UGGGGAAUUUUGCGCAAUGGGCGAAAGCCUGACGCAGUAACGCCGCGUGGAGGAUGAAGGCCUUCGGGUUGUAAACUCCUGUCAGGGGGAACGACGGAGUAAGGGUGAUAAGCCCUUUCCUCCAGACGGUACCUCCAAAGGAAGCCCCGGCUAAUUCCGUGCCAGCAGCCGCGGUAAUACGGAAGGGGCGAGCGUUGUUCGGAAUCAUUGGGCGUAAAGGGCGCGUAGGUGGUUCUGUAUGUCUACCGUGAAAGCGUACGGCUCAACCGUAUUUUGUCGGUAGAAACUGCAGGACUUGAGGCUGGGAGGGGCUGGCGGAAUUCCCUGUGUAGCGGUGAAAUGCGUAGAGAUGGGGGAGAACACUCGUGGCGAAGGCGGCCAGCUAGACCAGUUCUGACACUGAGGCGCGACAGCGUGGGGAGCAAACA
RNAcentral lists this ribosomal RNA (428 nucleotides) under uncultured bacterium. Its description in RNAcentral is "bacterial SSU rRNA". It matches the Rfam family "Bacterial small subunit ribosomal RNA", at positions 355 to 774 of the family's 1533-position model. The record is from RNAcentral.